RNA transcript from Dermochelys coriacea (leatherback sea turtle), 4450 nucleotides. It is a transcript of the gene named mitogen-activated protein kinase 1 interacting protein 1 like, with no coding region annotated. Lineage: Eukaryota; Metazoa; Chordata; Testudines; Dermochelyidae. The transcript has 5 exons. The record is from RefSeq and is a predicted model, not a curated record.
UCGCGCUGCUGCUGCUGCUGCCUCCCUCCGCCUGCGCCGAGCGAGUCCCCUCGCAGAAGGACGCCUCAUUGAAGAAAGCCUUUGGGGAGUCUGUUUCCUUUCAGUAUGACCUUAGUUCAGAUCAUUAAAAUGUCUGGAGCUGAUGACUUUUCGUUGGCAGAUGCUUUACCGGAUCAUUCCCCUGCUAAAACCUCCAAAGUGAGCAAUACAAAAUCUGGUCAACAAACUGGUCAACCAACACAAGGCUGGCCAACUUCCAAUCCUUGGAACACCCCAAGUGCUCCACCUACUGGGCCAUCUGGAUUGCCACCAAAUACAACAGCCUCCAGUGUACCAUUUGGACCACCCCCAACAGGAAUGUAUCCUUCAAUGCCACCUGGACCGCCUGCUCCAUUUCCACCUCCUCCUACUGGACCCUCUUGCCCUCCUCCUGGUGGUCCAUAUCCACCCCCAUCUGUGCCAGGUCCUGUCCCGCCAGGGCAAUAUCCUCCACCAAAUAUGCCCUUUCCAGAGCUUCCGAGACCAUAUGGUGGUCCAACAGAGCCAGCUGCACCUCCUGCUCCUGUUGGGCCAUGGGGAUCCAUGCCUUCUGGAGCAUGGGGAGCAACAAUGGGAGGGCAGUAUCCUGCACCUAGUAUGCCAUAUCCACCCCCAGGGCCAUAUGCCACUCCUACCCAGACACCUGGGGCUGCACCUACAGUACCGUGGGGUACUGUCCCACCUGGAACAUGGGGACCUUCACCACCCGGUCCAUUUCCUCCACCCACGGGAUCAUAUCCAGCUCCAGGACUAUAUCCUACACCCCCUAAUCCUUUUCAAGUGCCAUCUGGUCCUGCUGGUACUCCAUCAAUGCCUGGUGGUCACCAUGUGAGUAUUUAAGUUGUACUAUGUUGAACAAUUCCAAAAUUCAUCUCACACAAGUACUGAUGUUGGGCAGUGGAAAGACCACUUAAUAAAAUGGUAUGGUCUGUUAGAACUGCUAUGUAUUUUUUCCAGUUAACAAUUUAAUGGGAAAUUAUCUGCCUAGUGGAGUUAAAAGUAUGGGAACGCUCAGUUUAGGCAGCUAACUCAGAUUUGAAAUACUACUAAGCCUGAGAAGUAUGAUGGUAGUCUUUAGGGUUGUAUUUUAUUGGCCUUCCAAAAAUACUUCCAUUUCAGGCAUCACUUUGAUUUGUCUUCUAAAUAUGAACAUGCAGCUAGAACCCCUUGCUUAAACAAGAGAAUGGAAAGAAUUAUUUGUAUAGAGACUAGAAUCAAAGGCUGUCUACACUAGCACUUUUGUGGGUAAAACUUAUGUCAAUUGGGUGUGAAAAAAACACCCUCCUGACAGACAUAAGUUUCACUGACAGAAGCACUAGUGUGGACCGUGCAAUAUUGGUGGGAGACGCUCUCUUGCUGACAUAGCCUUACUGCGGCUCGUUGCAGGGUGGUUUAAUUAUGCCAACUGGAGAGCUCUCUCCUGUUGGCAUAGAGCGGCUACACAGGAGACCUUGCAGGGGCACCACUGUACGGUCUCUAGUGUAGACAUAUAGGCUUAGAAUGUAGAACUACCGGUAAAAAACAAAACAAAAACCACCAUAGUAACAAUUGACUUGUAUGCUUAAAUUUGUCCUUGCCUUUAGUUGAGACAUUUACUUAGUGCUGAUUUGAGGAUGUAUUGUCUUGCUAAAGCCAUAAAUUGACCUUGAAUUUCACUUUUUAAUUUUUUACAGCCUUACCGCUGAAUUCAUGCUGGGCACCAAAGUACUGUAGCUUUCCACCUUCAUCCACUAUUUACAGAGAUUUUUUUUUUAAAAAAAUUUUGUUUCAGUAACUUUUGGAAUUGUGAAGAGCACUCGCCUCUUGUAUGUACUUCUGAGGUAUGAAGGAGCAAUCUGCAUAAAUUUAACUUGCUCAUAUGCUGGCAUCUUUUGGUUUAUUAAAGUGAAUUAGGAUGAGCAAACAAAGUCAAGUCCUGUGGUUCUUACUCGAGGCAGAAGUUCCUUUGGGGGGAAAAAAGGGAGUUGCCAAGUGAGUAAGGAUUACAGGAUCAGGCCUAAAGUCUUACUAAAAAGUUAAACAUUAAAUGUCGGUGAUUGCUUUAAGUUUUGAUACCAGACUUGUGGGGGUCACUAAAUGGAUGGAUAGUCAUAUUUUUGUCUAUUUUCAGGUUAUUCCAGAAUAUCAGUAAAAACAACGUAUUUUGAGAUUUCUUUAUGAAAUCUCUUUAUUUUAAACAUGCUACAGUAAUUCAACAUACUAAAGAGAAAUGGAGCAUGUGAAAUUUGAAGGUGUUCUUGGCAUUUAUUUAAUAUACUCUCAAGCACAAUUUCUCUCCGAUUCUGGGACUACAGCGGAGCAGUCAUAGGCCGAAGUACUAACUUGUAUGCACACCUGUUCAAGUUCACAAACAGGCAUUUAUGUGCAAAUCAAGUAGCUGGAUGUGCAGUUCAGUUCAUUUAAAUCCACAAAUGUGAGGUCUGUGCAUGAAAAGGAGGGCAUAAUUUUGCCAGCCCAAAAUUAGUCGUGGUGACUGGAAGUUUGGCUUGUUCUCUACAUGAAGAUAAACUGAUUCCCACUAGGAGAUGAUGCUGUCUCUUAACUUGGCUUUGCUGCCAAGCUAUGUAAACUCUGCAGAACUUUUUUUCAGCAUCCCUGGAAAUUAAGCCUGAGUUAAAUUAAAAUAGUCCAGUGGCAAAAAGCUGCUUUUGGCAUUCCACAUAGUCCUAUCACCUAGGUAGAUCCUUAAAAUCCAUCUCCCUUCUGCCAUAUUUUUAAAAUGAGCCAGUGUUAUGUCAGAGCUCCAUUGAACAUAGUAAUUGGGUAGUCCCUUUGUUCAUACCUAAAUAUAUGUUGUACCUCGCUGAAUGACAUGAUCUGAUUUGGUUUUAAUUGAAUGACUAGAAAUCCUGUGUUCAUCAGAAGGGUCACUGCUAUCAAUUUCAUUCUCCUGACUGAGAAUCUUUAUGGAAUUAUCAUAAUGAUAGUUUUGCAUUACCAAGACGCAUUCUUCACUGAGACUUGGGCUUUUUAAAAUUCAUUAUGGUACUUUGAUUACCUGGACUUUCUGUGAUCAUGCAGAAGUUAUUUUAUCCCAACCUGGGAAAUCUUAAUUUAGCAUCUGUUAGUGGAAUUAAAAAACUGAAUUAGAAAUACUGAAGGAUUAGUAAUAUAUCAGCUUAUUAGGAAAUCCCUUUUCAUAGUGAAAUCAAGGUAACUUUCUCUUCCCUUCCUUACUAGGGACGUCUGCAUGCACAGAGUAGUGGACUUUUAAAAAUAAACUCACUGGCCUGGUAGUGAUGAUGGAUACAUAGCCAUAGUGUCCAUGGCAGUUGCAAGAACCCUGAAAUAAAUUUUACAGAAUAGUGCAGUCUGUGAAGGAGCUGUGGCCACUCUAGCAUAUUGACAUGAGGUCUACUAAAUAGCCAAGAUAGGUGUGUGUUUUGUACUAGGAAGACAAUAGUGGAACUGAACACAACAAAUUAAGACUUGUUCCUAAUAUUCAACAUAAAUCAUAGUAUCUAUGAACACUGGAAAUCAGAACCAGAAGAAAUAUUUAAAAUAGGAUAUUUCAUAAAUUUAGUGUAGAAUUCUAUUCCCAUAGAAUAUAGACUUCAAAAAUUCAUUGUUGAAUUGACUUAAAUUUCUCCAAGACUGAUCCAACUUCUACAAGUGACUAUAGCAAACGUGCUUUGUUGCAUCUGGUCAAGUGCAUUUGACAUGUGCGGCCUUAGUCUGUAAAUUGAUCUAAGGAAAACAUACAUUUAUUUAAAGAAAUUGAUCCUAUAGUCACAACGUGGGUUGAACGUGCACUGGUUUGGAUCUGUUUGCAGGGGAAGGGGCCAGAUGUAGAAAAUACAAAGUGAACAUAUCAAAUUAUUUUUUAAAUGGGGAUUUCCAAAAGUAAAUAAAAUAGAUGUCUGGGUUCUUCCGGGAAUAGGCAGGAUUUAUUACAGGAAAGGUUAGGCUAAAAUUCAGAUACAUAUGGGACACUUUUUCAGUGUAUAUUCAUAUUUCUUGAAGUCAUAAAAACUGUUUCAUAUCCCCUUCGUUUUGUGAGCAAGGGUCCUUGCAUAGCCGUGAAAGGGUUUAUCUGUUAAUGUAUUGUGUAAAAAAACUCAAGUUGUCACUAUAUGCUGUGUAGUAACUUUAUCACAUAUAAUGUCAAGUGUGAGCAACUUCUGGCCUGAAGCUUUAGCAAUGGAAUUUGUACAUUUCUAUGCAUCAUUUAAGUUAAAUUGCUGAGAAGUUUGUUUUGACUUGUGCUUUGAGAUUGGCAUACUGCAUUUGUUUACAAUAUGGAAUAUAAGCAAUCACAUCUUUAAAGUAUAGACUAUCACCUGCUGCUGUAUUUUCUUUAGAUGAGACAAAUAUUGCUGUAUGAUAGCGAAAAGCUAUAAAUACAGGAUUUGAUAUUUUUUGAAACGCUGUCACUUUUGUAUAAGAUUAGACAUUAAACGUAUUUUCAGGA